This 372-nucleotide ribosomal RNA is filed under the name uncultured organism. RNAcentral's name for it is "bacterial SSU rRNA". It matches the Rfam family "Bacterial small subunit ribosomal RNA", at positions 526 to 896 of the family's 1533-position model. The record is from RNAcentral.
CGUAGGGUGCGAGCGUUAAUCGGAAUUACUGGGCGUAAAGCGUGCGCAGGCGGUUUUGUAAGUCAGAUGUGAAAGCCCCGGGCUCAACCUGGGAACUGCGUUUGAAACUACAAGGCUAGAGUAUGGCAGAGGGGGGUAGAAUUCCACGUGUAGCAGUGAAAUGCGUAGAGAUGUGGAGGAAUACCAAUGGCGAAGGCAGCCCCCUGGGUCAAUACUGACGCUCAUGCACGAAAGCGUGGGGAGCAAACAGGAUUAGAUACCCUGGUAGUCCACGCCCUAAACGAUGUCUACUAGUUGUUGGGAGAGUAAAAUCUCUUAGUAACGCAGCUAACGCGUGAAGUAGACCGCCUGGGGAGUACGGUCGCAAGAUUA